CGAAGCGAUUUUGAGGAAGUUUUCGGAUGGAAUUGAAAUUGACUUAGCGGCGGACGGGUGAGUAACACGUGGGUAAUCUGCCUUAUACAGGGGGAUAACAGUUAGAAAUGACUGCUAAUACCGCAUAAGCGCACGGGGACGCAUGUUUCUGUGUGAAAAACUCCGGUAGUAUAAGAUGAGCCCGCGUCUGAUUAGCUGGUUGGUGGGGUAACGGCCUACCAAGGCGACGAUCAGUAGCCGGCCUGAGAGGGUGAACGGCCACAUUGGGACUGAGACACGGCCCAAACUCCUACGGGAGGCAGCAGUGGGGAAUAUUGCACAAUGGGGGAAACCCUGAUGCAGCGACGCCGCGUGAGUGAAGAAGUAUUUCGGUAUGUAAAGCUCUAUCAGCAGGGAAGAAAAUGACGGUACCUGACUAAGAAGCCCCGGCUAACUACGUGCCAGCAGCCGCGGUAAUACGUAGGGGGCAAGCGUUAUCCGGAUUUACUGGGUGUAAAGGGAGCGUAGACGGCGCGGCAAGUCUGAAGUGAAAGGCAGGGGCUUAACCCUUGAACUGCUUUGGAAACUGCCAUGCUAGAGUGCUGGAGAGGUAAGUGGAAUUCCUAGUGUAGCGGUGAAAUGC
Molecule: ribosomal RNA, 622 nt
Filed under: uncultured bacterium
Lineage: Bacteria
Description: bacterial SSU rRNA
Rfam family: Bacterial small subunit ribosomal RNA
Source: RNAcentral